GUGCUCGCUUCAGCAGCACAUAUACUAAAAUUAGAACAAUAUAGAGAAGAUUAGCAUGGCCCCUGCACAAGGAUGACACGCAAAUUCAUGAAGGGUUCCAUAUUUUU
RNAcentral lists this small nuclear RNA (107 nucleotides) under Erinaceus europaeus (western European hedgehog). The record is from RNAcentral. Lineage: Eukaryota; Metazoa; Chordata; Mammalia; Eulipotyphla; Erinaceidae.